GCCAGGUGCAGUGGUGUACACCUGUAGUCCCAACUACUCGGGAGGCUGAGGCAGGAGGACUGCUUGAGUCCAGGAGUUCUGGGCUGUAGUGCGCUAUGCCAAUUGGGUGUCCACACUAAGUUCAGCAUCGAUAUGGUGACCUCCUGGGAGCAGGGGAACACAAGAUUGCCUAAGGAGGGGUGAACUGGCCCAGGUCAGAAACUGACAAGGUCAAAACUCCCUUGCUGAUCAGUAGUGCGAUUGAUCCUGAGAACAGCCACUGCACUUCAGCCUGGGCAACAUAGCAAGACCCUGUGCCA
RNAcentral lists this signal recognition particle RNA (299 nucleotides) under Cebus imitator (Panamanian white-faced capuchin). RNAcentral describes it as "Metazoan signal recognition particle RNA (ENSCCAG00000003440.1)". It matches the Rfam family "Metazoan signal recognition particle RNA". From Rfam's summary of the family: The signal recognition particle (SRP) is a universally conserved ribonucleoprotein. It is involved in the co-translational targeting of proteins to membranes. The record is from RNAcentral. Lineage: Eukaryota; Metazoa; Chordata; Mammalia; Primates; Cebidae.